This 22-nucleotide microRNA is filed under the name Schistosoma japonicum. RNAcentral's name for it is "sja-miR-219-3p". Its record names the gene sja-miR-219-3p. The record is from miRBase by way of RNAcentral. Lineage: Eukaryota; Metazoa; Platyhelminthes; Trematoda; Strigeidida; Schistosomatidae.
AGAGGUGUUAAUGGACAUCAUA